GUUUUGUGAAAGACAAUUACCCAUCCUGAGUAGAAGAGAACAUCUUCUUCACGACUAAUGGCUUUCGAUAUCUAGGGUUUCUUCAUCGUCUUCUUCGAUCUCUAACCUCAACCGACAAUGGAGUUUCAGAAGGUUGCGCGAGAUAAAUCUUCAGGAAUCUAUGGGUCAAGCUCUGUUCGUGUUGUUUCGUCUGCGAUUCAUCUCCUCUCAAACGUUACAGGAUACAUUGAUCCAUAACUCCUUCGCCACACACCAAGCAUGAUACCUCAUUAGUGCUUCUAUCUCUCUUAGAGGCGGUGAUUUCCACCUAUAAAAAGAUUCUGUUGAUGAAAUGUGGAGGCAUAUAAUUUGAUGCCUCAUAUAGUAAAACUCCAUCCAGAGCAGAAUGGUUAACGAGUGAAUCUGGCCCGGUUACUUGGGACUGGAUCUCUGCUUCAGUAAUGAUAUUUUGAAUCAUAAUUCAUGAAUGUGAACAAGAUACAUACAUGAACAAUGAAUGGUCAGUCAUGGUUGGGAACAUGUGCUCGAAGCUGUCUAGAUUCCAAUCUGAAAGUGCAGCAAGUGUGAAGUGAGUACACUCUGUCCUUUUUCCCCUUACACAUUUUUGUAAGAUCAGUAGCAAUGAAGUUUUAUUGUUGUUGGUAUUUAAUAAAUUUAUUUUUGUUGAUGAAUAUAUAUGUGAAAUAUGUUCUUAAAGUUUUUCCAGAAUCCAAAUUAGAUUUGUCCUGUUUGUCAUGGGAUCUGUAAUUGUGCCGGAAUCAUAAAGGUUGGUUCUAACUGUCCAUGUAUUUCAGAAAAGGUGUGUUACGAUCCUUUUAUCUUCCAUAUUGCCAUAUUAACUUGGUUAGUCAAAAAAAACAAUCAAAUAUUUUUGGACAGACUUGAAUCUUGCCUGAGAACAAAGUUUUUUUCUCACUUAUAUUCUUAUGUUUUCUGCAGCUACCUGCAAACAGUCUGAUCAUACUUGGGAAAAAGACUUAUGUGCUAAGUUUGGUUCAGUUCCAUUGUCCAAAGUUGUAGAAGAGGACCGGUAUAUGCUCCAAUACGUUAGAGUGGCCCAGUAGGACGAUUCAGUGUGAGAAAAUGCAAUCAAGAACGCUAAAUCGCUGUAUUGGGCAGAGAUAAAUAGAGCUUCAUGUGACUUACAUUUUCAUGAUCCUGAUGUCUACGUUGAUGAUGUUAAAUGGGAUGCUGAAGUUGACACUGGAGAAUUCAUACGAUUAGGACCAGUAUUGUCAUGGAUGGAGUAGUUUCAAAACAGGAACUUGGGUAGCAAGGAAAAAAACAACAAUUUCAAAACAGAAACCUGGCUUCAAGAGAAGAAUAAUGACAACAGCUGCUACAACUACUAAGAGGUUGGGAAUUGGAACAGUAAGGAUCAACAAUGAAGAGAAAUUGGAGAAAGCGAGGAGUUGUGCAAUGUGGAGGAGAUCAGGUGGAGAACUGUCGAUUUGGAAAUGGAGAGGGAGAAGCAAAUGUGGGUUUCAGCAAUUUGAAUGGUUGAGUGAUUGAGUCUCUCUUGAUAAUAUUUUUUUCAAAAUGAAAGAGUAACAUUGUUUUCCGUUAGUAACUAUAUAGUGGAAGUGUAGAAGCUUAUAGUCAUAUUGAUUUUAUGUUUGUCGUGCCACAUAUGAAUGACAGUUAUGUAAUGAAAACCAAGAUCGAAGUGGUGCUUCAUUAUGUAGGUAAGGUAGAGUUACUCUCAGGCUUUGUAGUUUGUUUAGAAUGAAAAUCAUUUUCGCCA
This is a long non-coding RNA of Brassica oleracea var. oleracea, 1744 nucleotides long. RefSeq lists it as uncharacterized. The record is from RefSeq and is a predicted model, not a curated record. Lineage: Eukaryota; Viridiplantae; Streptophyta; Magnoliopsida; Brassicales; Brassicaceae. The transcript is spliced from 2 exons.